Molecule: ribosomal RNA, 500 nt
Filed under: uncultured bacterium
Lineage: Bacteria
Description: partial 16S ribosomal RNA
Rfam family: Bacterial small subunit ribosomal RNA
Source: RNAcentral
AUUGAACGCUGGCGGCAUGCUUUACACAUGCAAGUCGAACGGCAGCACGGGGGCAACCCUGGUGGCGAGUGGCGAACGGGUGAGUAAUGCAUCGGAACGUACCCAGUCGUGGGGGACAACGUAGCGAAAGUUACGCUAAUACCGCAUACGAACUGAGAGUGAAAGCAGGGGAUCGCAAGACCUGGCGCGAAUGGAGCGGCAGAUGUCAGAUUAGCUAGUUGGUGGGGUAAAGGACCACCAAGGCGGCGAUCUGUAGCGGGUCUGAGAGGAUGAACCGCCACACUGGGACUGAGACACGGCCCAGACUCCUACGGGAGGCAGCAGUGGGGAAUUUUGGACAAUGGGGGCAACCCUGAUCCAGCCAUGCCGCGUGCGGGAAGAAGGCCUUCGGGUUGUAAACCGCUUUCGGACAGAAAGAAAUCGCAUGGGCUAAUACCCUGUGUGGAUGACGGUACUGUAAGAAGAAGCACCGGCUAACUACGUGCCAGCCGCCGCGGUAA